GGCGAUCAGAUACCGCCCUAGUUCUGACCGUAAACGAUGCCAACUAUCAAUCCGCCAGUGGCUUUGAGUCGUUGGCGGGCGGAUGGACGGAAACGAAAGUCUUUCGGUUCCGGGGGAAGUAUGGUUGCAAAGCUGAAACUUAAAGGAAUUGACGGAAGGGCACCACCAGGAGUGGAGCUUGCGGCUUAAUUUGACUCAACACGGGAAACCUCACCCGGCCAGUACAUCAUAAGGAUUGACAGAUUGACAGCUCUUUCAUGAUUUGAUGAAUGGUGGUGCAUGGCCGUUCUUAGUUCGUGGCGUGAGUCGUCUGCUUAAUUGCGAUAACGAGCGAGACUCUGACUGCUAAAUACCUGCUGGAUUGGUUGUCCGCGCGGGUUCUUAGCUGGAUUCGAGACUGCAAGUCUCAAGAAAUGGAGCAAUAACAGGUCUGUGAUGCCCUUAGAUGUUCGGGGCCGCACGCGUGCUACAAUGAUGGUAACAGCGUGCUUGUCCUCGCCCGAGAGGGCUUGGUAAACAGUUGAGAUAUUAUUAUGGCUGGAAUUGAGUGUUGAAAUUUUCCCUCAUGAACGAGGAAUUCCAAGUAAAUGCGAGUCAUCAACUUGCAUUGAUUACGUCCCUGCCCUUUGUA
Molecule: ribosomal RNA, 631 nt
Rfam family: Eukaryotic small subunit ribosomal RNA